GACGAACGCUGGCGGCGUGCUUAACACAUGCAAGUCGAACGGAAAGGCCCUGCUUGCAGGGUGCUCGAGUGGCGAACGGGUGAGUAACACGUGGGUGAUCUGCCCCUUAUUUUGGGAUAAGCCUGGGAAACUGGGUCUAAUACUGGAUAGGACCAUGCUGUAGGUGGUGUGGUGGAAAGAUUAGUUUCGGUAAGGGAUGAGCUCGCGGCCUAUCAGCUUGUUGGUGGGGUAAUGGCCUACCAAGGCGUCGACGGGUAGCCGGCCUGAGAGGGUGGACGGCAACAUUGGGACUGAGAUACGGCCCAGACUCCUACGGGAGGCAGCAGUGGGGAAUAUUGCACAAUGGGCGCAAGCCUGACGCAGCGACGCCGCGUGGGGGAUGACGGCCUUCGGGUUGUAAACUCCUUUCAGCCAUGACGAAGCCCUUGUGGUGACGGUAGUGGUAGAAGAAGCACCGGCUAACUAUGUG
Molecule: ribosomal RNA, 469 nt
Filed under: uncultured bacterium
Lineage: Bacteria
Description: partial 16S ribosomal RNA
Rfam family: Bacterial small subunit ribosomal RNA
Source: RNAcentral